CCUACGGGAGGCAGCAGUGAGGAAUAUUGGUCAAUGGACGCUAGCCUGAACCAGCCAAGUAGCGUGAAGGAUGACUGCCCUAUGGGUUGUAAACUUCUUUUAUAUGGGAAUAAAGUGCUGUAUGUAUACUGCUUUGCAUGUACCAUAUGAAUAAGGAUCGGCUAACUCCGUGCCAGCAGCCGCGGUAAUACGGAGGAUCCGAGCGUUAUCCGGAUUUAUUGGGUUUAAAGGGAGCGUAGGCGGGUUGUUAAGUCAGUUGUGAAAGUUUGCGGCUCAACCGUAAAAUUGCAGUUGAUACUGGCAGCCUUGAGUACAGUAGAGGUAGGCGGAAUUCGUGGUGUAGCGGUGAAAUGCUUAGAUAUCACGAAGAACUCCGAUUGCGAAGGCAGCCUGCUGGACUGUAACUGACGCUGAGGCUCGAAAGUGUGGGUAUCAAACAGGAUUAGAUACCCUGGUAGUC
RNAcentral lists this ribosomal RNA (460 nucleotides) under uncultured bacterium. Its description in RNAcentral is "partial 16S ribosomal RNA". It matches the Rfam family "Bacterial small subunit ribosomal RNA", at positions 338 to 795 of the family's 1533-position model. The record is from RNAcentral.